GAUGAACGCUAGCGGGAGGCCUAAUACAUGCAAGUCGAACGGUAACAGGGUAGCAAUACCGCUGACGAGUGGCGCACGGGUGAGUAACACGUACACAAUCUGCCUUAUACUGGGGCAUACCCUCGGGAAACUGAGAAUAAUUCCCCAUAACAUAUCGAAACGGCAUCGUUUUGAUAUUAAAACUCCGGUGGUAUAAGAUGAGUGUGCGUCUGAUUAGCUAGUUGGUAAGGUAACGGCUUACCAAGGCUACGAUCAGUAACUGGUCUGAGAGGAUGAUCAGUCACACGGACACUGAGACACGGGUCCGACUCCUACGGGAGGCAGCAGUAGGGAAUAUUGGACAAUGGAGGCAACUCUGAUCCAGCCAUCCCGCGUGAAGGAUUAAGGCCCUCUGGGUUGUAAACUUCUUUUCUCUGGGAAUAAAAACCGGUAUUCAUAUCGGCUUGAAGGUACCAGAGGAAUAAGCACCGGCUAACUCCGUG
Molecule: ribosomal RNA, 482 nt
Filed under: uncultured organism
Description: bacterial SSU rRNA
Rfam family: Bacterial small subunit ribosomal RNA
Source: RNAcentral